RNAcentral lists this transfer RNA (31 nucleotides) under Chloephaga melanoptera (Andean goose). Its description in RNAcentral is "partial tRNA-Trp". The record is from RNAcentral. Lineage: Eukaryota; Metazoa; Chordata; Aves; Anseriformes; Anatidae.
AAACUUAGGAUAACACCCCUCCAAACCGAAG